ACGGAAGGCAGCAGUAGGGAAUAUUGCACAAUGGGGGGAACCCUGAUGCAGCAACGCCACGUGUGGGAAGAAGCAUUUCGGUGUGUAAACCACUGUCGUGAAGGAAUAAGGCUUAUUUUCGGAUAAGUUGACUGUACUUUGAAAGGAAGCACCGGCAAACUUCGUGCCAGCAGCCGCGGUAAUACGAGGGGUGCAAGCGUUGUUCGGAAUCACUGGGCGUAAAGGGAGCGCAGGCGGAGAUGCAAGCAGUCUGUACAAUACCGGGGCCCAACCCCGGACCGGCAGAUUGGACUGUUUCUCUUGGAUAGCUCAGGGGCUGGCGGAAUUCCUGGUGUAGCGGUGGAAUGCGUAGAGAUCAGGAAGAACACCGAUGGCGAAGGCAGCCAGCUGGGGGCUUAUCGACACUCAUGCUCGAAAGUGCGGGUAGCAAACAGGAUUAGAUACCCUGGUA
RNAcentral lists this ribosomal RNA (451 nucleotides) under uncultured Fibrobacter sp. RNAcentral's name for it is "partial 16S ribosomal RNA". It matches the Rfam family "Bacterial small subunit ribosomal RNA", at positions 341 to 792 of the family's 1533-position model. Lineage: Bacteria; Pseudomonadati; Fibrobacterota; Fibrobacteria; Fibrobacterales; Fibrobacteraceae. The record is from RNAcentral.